RNAcentral lists this ribosomal RNA (113 nucleotides) under Periophthalmus magnuspinnatus. Lineage: Eukaryota; Metazoa; Chordata; Actinopteri; Gobiiformes; Gobiidae. The record is from RNAcentral.
UAUUGUAGCCACAGCCAAAAAGCCUGAUCUCAUCUGAUCUCAGAAGCCAAGCAGGGCUGGGCCUGGUCCGUACUGGGAUGGGAGACUCCUGGGACUGUCGGGUGCCACAAUGG